AGCAGCCGCGGUAAUUCCAGCUCCAAUAGCGUAUAUUAAAGUUGUUGCAGUUAAAAAGCUCGUAGUUGAAUUUCGAGAUCAAUUUGUUGGUCGUGCCUCGGUACGUACUGGCAAUUUUGAUUUCUCCCUUCUGAAGAAUCAUGAUGUCAUUAAUUUGGUGUCAUGGGGAAUCAGGACCGUUACUUUGAAAAAUUAGAGUGUUUAAAGCAGGCUCGCGCUUGAAUACAUUAGCAUGGAAUAAUGAAAUAGGACGUUUGAUUCUAUUUUGUUGGUUUCUAGGAUCGACGUAAUGAUUAAUAGGGAUAGUUGGGGGCAUUAGUAUUCAAUUGUCAGAGGUGAAAUUCUUGGAUUUAUUGAAGACUAACUACUGCGAAAGCAUUUGCCAAGGAUGUUUUCAUUAAUCAAGAACGAAAGUUAGGGGAUCGAAGACGAUCAGAUACCGUCGUAGUC
This 450-nucleotide ribosomal RNA is filed under the name uncultured Glomeromycotina. Its description in RNAcentral is "SSU rRNA". It matches the Rfam family "Eukaryotic small subunit ribosomal RNA", at positions 569 to 1025 of the family's 1831-position model. Lineage: Eukaryota; Fungi; Glomeromycota. The record is from RNAcentral.